AUGGUGGUCCUUAGUGUUAAGAUGCAACGUACAGCAAAGGCGCUCAGAAGCUGGGGUCAGAGGAAACAGAGUUCAAUGUGCAUACAGUUUCAGAUAGCCAACGAGGUGAUUUUGCGAUUGGAUAGCGCACAAGAGGCACGGUCUCUGUCAGAUGAUGAACGACGUUUAAGGGCUUUUUUGAAAGGGAAGUGCCUCGCUCUCGCCUCAUUAGAGCGGGUCCGCUUGCGACAGCGUGCAAAGGUGAGGGAUCUAAAGGAAGGGGAUGCGAACUCCAAGUACAUUCACAUGAAAGCAAAUGGCAGGAGGAGGAAGCACCAAAUCCCCUACCUCAGAGAUGGCCCAAGAACAGUCUCGAGUCUAGAGAAUAAGCUGAGGCUGGCUAGAGAGUUCUACAGUAGUUUGAUGGGUACUCCGGCACAAGUGAGGUCUUUCUUGAAGUUGGACCUUCUUGACAUCAACAGUCUGCCACCGGAUUUGGCCAGUGGUUUGGAAGGUCCGUUCACGGAAAAUGAAGUCAAACAGGUGAUCAUGGACAUGCCCUCGGACAAGGCCCCGGGACCGGACGGCUUUUCGGGCCUUUUCUACAAGGUAUGCUGGGACAUUAUUUCUAAGGAUUUCAUGGAGAUCAUGUUCGAGUUGCACAGGAGCAACUUUGCUUCCUUUGGCAGGCUCAACUCCUCCAUAAUUACCUUAUUGCCCAAGAAAGAAUGUUCUCUGGAAGUAGCGGAUUUUAGACCGUUUAACUUGAUUCAUGGAGUGGCUAAAAUAUUUGCCAAGGUGUUGGCUGUCUGUCUGGCUCCCCUUCUUCUAGCUCUAGUGUCUAAAGUGCAAAACGCUUUGAUUGGCGGCAGGAGUAUGCAUGAGAACUUCAAGUUUGUCUGUAAUACGGCCAAGGUGCUUCACAAGAGGAAAACACCGGUUGUACUAAUGAAGAUUGAUAUAUCUAAAGCAUUUGAUACGCUGUCUUGGGAAUUCAUUAUUCAAAUUUUGAUAAGGAGAGGUUUUCGGCUUCGUUGGUGCUCUUGGAUUUGUGGAUUGUUGCGUACUGCUUCCUCCUCGGUAUUAAUUAAUGGUGAGACUUGCGAGCCCUUCUCCCUGGGUAGCGGCGUGAGACAAGGCGACUCCCUAUCCCCAGCACUCUUCAUUCUGGCCAUGGAUUCCUUGCAAGCUAUGAUUAGUUGGGCGGUUCAAAACAAUAUGUUAUCAAGCUUGGGCCUCAACCCCAAGGUCCCGAGAGCCUCCUUCUUUGCGGAUGAUGCUAUCCUCUUUUUCAAGCCUUGUCCAAGUGAUCUACAGGUGAUCUCAGCCAUUCUCAAGCUCUUUGGUGAAGCUUCAGGCCUCCGUAUCAACUUGUAG
This 1356-nucleotide ribosomal RNA is filed under the name Triticum aestivum (bread wheat). RNAcentral's name for it is "partial small subunit ribosomal RNA". The record is from RNAcentral. Lineage: Eukaryota; Viridiplantae; Streptophyta; Magnoliopsida; Poales; Poaceae.